Drosophila virilis is the source of this 195-nucleotide non-coding RNA. NCBI's taxonomy places the organism in Eukaryota, Metazoa, Arthropoda, Insecta, Diptera, Drosophilidae. The record is from RefSeq and is a predicted model, not a curated record.
CCUUUUUUAUGUAUUAAUAUGUAUUAAUAUGUGUUUCCAACGAAAGGCGUUGUUUUCCUUGUUUGUUUACCUUGUCUGCCUAAAGAGCUCUCUGGGUGGGGGGCACCUGUACCUGAGACGCAAUAAUCUUUGGGCCCUUUCCUUCCCGGUUGGCACUUUCGGAAAUUUACUUUAUUCAAACUAGUAGUAGAAAAA